AGUCACGAUUUUUCCAUAUUGGUAUGGAUUCUAAAACCUUAUAGGAAAAUGCCAUCUUUCACAAAAUGAAACUAUGCCUACAGAGCUGCUGAGGGAUGCCCUGUAGUGGACUGGCUGAGACUGUCGAGCAUCAGGUUGCAAAUCUCCAGAGGUACAAGGGGCUCAUUGGUAGCCUGGCCUGCUUUUGGUAUAUCAAUGAGGACAUCCCUGACGUAAAUUCGUUUCGUGACAGUGGGUGAUUGAGAAAGGAGCCCAAGCAGAAGGCAGAACACAGAUGGAGCAGUUGACUUGUUCUUGUUCAUUUCCCUUUCCGCAACGAAUAGAAUCCAAUUAAUUAAUUUGGGUGUAUGCUGAUU
Long non-coding RNA from Triticum dicoccoides, 356 nucleotides. RefSeq lists it as uncharacterized. The record is from RefSeq and is a predicted model, not a curated record. Lineage: Eukaryota; Viridiplantae; Streptophyta; Magnoliopsida; Poales; Poaceae. The transcript is spliced from 3 exons.